AGGACGAACGCUGGCGGCGUGCUUAACACAUGCAAGUCGAGCGGAAAGGCCCUUCGGGGUACUCGAGCGGCGAACGGGUGAGUAACACGUGAGCAACCUGCCCUUAGCUUCGGGAUAGCUCCGGGAAACCGGAAUUAAUACCGAAUAUGACUUUGGCUGACAUCAGCAGAAGUGGAAAGUUUUUCGGCUAGGGAUGGACUCGCGGCCUAUCAGCUAGUUGGUGAGGUAACGGCCCACCAAGGCGACGACGGGUAGCCGGCCUGAGAGGGCGACCGGCCACACUGGGACUGAGACACGGCCCAGACUCCUACGGGAGGCAGCAGUGGGGAAUAUUGCGCAAUGGGCGAAAGCCUGACGCAGCGACGCCGCGUGGGGAUGAAUGCCUUCGGGUUGUAAACCCCUUUCAGCAGGGACGAAGCGAAAGUGACGGUACCUGCAGAAGAAGCGCCGGCUAACUACGUGCCAGCAGCCGC
RNAcentral lists this ribosomal RNA (473 nucleotides) under uncultured bacterium. RNAcentral describes it as "SSU rRNA". It matches the Rfam family "Bacterial small subunit ribosomal RNA", at positions 26 to 518 of the family's 1533-position model. The record is from RNAcentral.